AUGCGAUAAGUAAUGUGAAUUGCAGAAUUCAGUGAAUCAUCGAAUCUUUGAACGCACAUUGCGCCCGGCAGUAAUCUACCGGGCAUGCCUGUCCGAGCGUCAUUUCAACCCUCGAACCUCCGUUUCCUCAGGGAAGCCCAGGGUCGGUGUUGGGGCGCUACGGCGAGUCUUCGCGACCCCCGUAGGCCCUGAAAUACAGUGGCGGUCCCGCCGCGGUUGCCUUCUGCGUAGUAAGUCUCUUUUGCAAGCUCGCAUUGGGUCCCGGCGGAGGCCUGCCGUCAAACCACCUAACAACUCCAGAUGGUUUGACCUCGGAUCAGGUAGGGUUACCCGCUGAACUUAA
This 343-nucleotide unclassified non-coding RNA is filed under the name uncultured Scedosporium. Its description in RNAcentral is "partial contains 5.8S ribosomal RNA, internal transcribed spacer 2, and large subunit ribosomal RNA". The stretch from base 1 to 102 matches the Rfam family "5.8S ribosomal RNA", at positions 53 to 154 of the family's 154-position model. Lineage: Eukaryota; Fungi; Ascomycota; Sordariomycetes; Microascales; Microascaceae. The record is from RNAcentral.